This 194-nucleotide ribosomal RNA is filed under the name uncultured bacterium. RNAcentral describes it as "partial 16S ribosomal RNA". It matches the Rfam family "Bacterial small subunit ribosomal RNA", at positions 338 to 524 of the family's 1533-position model. The record is from RNAcentral.
CCUACGGGAGGCAGCAGUAGGGAAUUUUCGUCAAUGGGGGCAACCCUGAACGAGCAAUGCCGCGUGAGCGAAGAAGGUCUUCGGAUUGUAAAGCUCUGUUGCCGGGGAAAAAGGAAGGAAAGAGGAAAUGCUUUUCUUUGGAUGGUACCCGGCCAGAAAGUCACGGCUAACUACGUGCCAGCAGCCGCGGUAAU